AUUAAAUUAAGUACAAUUAAUUUUAUUAUUCAAUUAGAAAAAAUUUUUUUUAUUAUAGUAAAAUGUAUUGUAAAGGAAAAUUUAAAUUAUUUAAAAGAAAAAUUUAAUUUUUGUACCUUGUGUAUCAGGGUUUAUUAAAUUUAAUUUAUUUAUUUAUUUAUCUCGAAUUUAAAAGAGCUAAAUUAUUAUUAAUUUUAUUGUAAAAUAAAUAUAUUAAAUAAUAAGUUAGUAAUGAAAUGUUAUUCGUUUUUAAAUAUAUCUAGUUUUUUAAGAAAUUAAUUAAAUUAUUUUAUUAUAAAUAUAUUUAUUAUUUUAUAUUUUUAUAUUAAUAAUAAUUAAUAUUUUUAGGGAUUAGCUUAAAAAUAUAUUUUUAUUAAAUUAUAAAUUAUUAAUUAAAAUUAGGAUUAAAAAUUUUCAUAUUUUAAAGUAUGUUAUUAUUUAUUUAUUUUUAUAUAAUUUUUAUUUUUUAUAAAUUUUAUAUUAAAAUAUUAAUUUAAAUUUUAUAAAUUAAGAAAUAAUGAUAAAAUUAGUAUAAUUAUAUAUAUAUAUAUAUAUAAUAAAUUGUUAGGUUAAUUUUUAAAGAAUUCGGCAAAAUUAUUUUUCACCUGUUUAUUAAAAACAUGUCUUUUUGUUUAAAAUUUAAAGUCUAGCCUGCCCAAUGAAGUUUAAAUGGCCGCGAUAUUUUGAUCGUGCUAAGGUAGCAUAAUCAUUAGUUUUUUAAUUGAAAGCUGGAAUGAAGGGUUGGAUGAAAAAAUAACUUUUUUAGUUUAAUUUUAUUAAAAUUUUAUUUUUAAGUAAAAAAGUUUAAAUGUAAUUAAAAGACGAGAAGACCCUAUAAAGUUUUAUAAAUAUUUUAAAAUAUUUUUUUAGAAUUAAUUUUUUAUUUUGAAAUGUUUAUUUGGUUGGGGUGAUUAAAAAAUUUAAUUAACUUUUUUUAUAUUUUUAUAUAAAUUUAUAAAUUUAUGAUCCAAUAUUAUUGAUUAUAAGAUAAAAUUACUUUAGGGAUAACAGCGUAAUUUUAUUAGAAAGUUCAUAUUGAUAAUAAAGAUUGCGACCUCGAUGUUGGAUUAAAAUUUCUAUUUGGUGUAGUGGCUAAAUAAUUAAGUCUGUUCGACUUUUAAAAUUUUACAUGAUCUGAGUUUAAACCGGUGUAAGCCAGGUUGGUUUCUAUCUUUAGUAAAUUAAUAUAUUUUAGUACGAAAGGACCAAGUAUAUAAAUAAUAUUUUAUAUUUGAUAAAUAUU
Molecule: ribosomal RNA, 1243 nt
Filed under: Aulacophora indica
Lineage: Eukaryota; Metazoa; Arthropoda; Insecta; Coleoptera; Chrysomelidae
Description: 16S ribosomal RNA
Rfam family: Archaeal large subunit ribosomal RNA (bases 1004-1162)
Source: RNAcentral